ACCCCACCAGGCCUUCUAGAACAUUCCAGGCCAACGGAGGCGCCAGGCAGCCUGAGUGCGUGCGUCUUUCGGGUUCAGCUCCUGCAGGAAACCAUGAUCCUGCUUGCCCUACUGCUCGUCGUGGGGCUCCCUCUGGUGGAGAGCAAUGGCACUGCCGUUAGUGAGCAACGUUGGACCUUUAAUGUGACCUGUUCUGAAUGUUGGAGUCUCAAUACAUUCCAAUG
Molecule: long non-coding RNA, 224 nt
Organism: Ochotona curzoniae (black-lipped pika)
Lineage: Eukaryota; Metazoa; Chordata; Mammalia; Lagomorpha; Ochotonidae
Exons: 3
Source: RefSeq, a predicted model, not a curated record